RNAcentral lists this transfer RNA (63 nucleotides) under Stylochyrus rarior. Its description in RNAcentral is "tRNA-Cys". Lineage: Eukaryota; Metazoa; Arthropoda; Arachnida; Mesostigmata; Ologamasidae. The record is from RNAcentral.
AAUCUAUUAUUAAGUUUUAAUAUAUUAAAUUGCAAAUUUAAUGACGGUUAAAUCCUAAGACUU